Molecule: ribosomal RNA, 827 nt
Filed under: uncultured Bacillota bacterium
Lineage: Bacteria; Bacillati; Bacillota
Description: bacterial SSU rRNA
Rfam family: Bacterial small subunit ribosomal RNA
Source: RNAcentral
AUGGCUCAGGACGAACGCUGGCGGCGUGCUUAACACAUGCAAGUCGAACGAGAAUCUACUGAAAGAGUUUUCGGACAAUGGAAGUAGAGGAAAGUGGCGGACGGGUGAGUAACGCGUGAGGAACCUGCCUUGAAGAGGGGGACAACAGUUGGAAACGACUGCUAAUACCGCAUGACGCAUAGAGGUCGCAUGAUCUUUAUGCCAAAGAUUUAUCGCUUCAAGAUGGCCUCGCGUCUGAUUAGCUAGUUGGCGGGGUAACGGCCCACCAAGGCGACGAUCAGUAGCCGGACUGAGAGGUUGAACGGCCACAUUGGGACUGAGAUACGGCCCAGACUCCUACGGGAGGCAGCAGUGGGGAAUAUUGGGCAAUGGGCGCAAGCCUGACCCAGCAACGCCGCGUGAAGGAAGAAGGCUUUCGGGUUGUAAACUUCUUUUAAGAGGGAAGAGCAGAAGACGGUACCUCUAGAAUAAGCCACGGCUAACUACGUGCCAGCAGCCGCGGUAAUACGUAGGUGGCAAGCGUUGUCCGGAUUUACUGGGUGUAAAGGGCGUGCAGCCGGGUCUGCAAGUCAGAUGUGAAAUCCAUGGGCUCAACCCAUGAACUGCAUUUGAAACUGUAGAUCUUGAGUGUCGGAGGGGCAAUCGGAAUUCCUAGUGUAGCGGUGAAAUGCGUAGAUAUUAGGAGGAACACCAGUGGCGAAGGCGGAUUGCUGGACGAUAACUGACGGUGAGGCGCGAAAGUGUGGGGAGCAAACAGGAUUAGAUACCCUGGUAGUCCACACUGUAAACGAUGAAUACUAGGUGUGCGGGGACUGACCCCCUGCGUG